GCAGUCGAACGAUGAAAGCUUCUUCGGAAGUAUAUGAAGUGGCGUAAGGGCGAGGAAUAUAUUUCUAUGUACCCCAAAGUCAAGGAUAGCCCAGGGAAACUUGGUGUAAUACUUGAUGUGGUCUCCGGAUCAAAGAUUUAUCGCUUUGGGAGCAGGGAAUAUCCUAUCAGGUAGUUGGUGAGGUAACGGCUCACCAAGCCAAAGACGGGUAGCGGGUGUGAGAGCAUGACCCGCCGCAUCGGAACUGAGACACUGUCCGGACUCCUACGGGAGGCUGCAGUAACGAAUAUUCCGCAAUGAGCGAAAGCUUGACGGAGCAAUGCCGCGUGUAGGAUGAAUCUCCUUGGAGUGUAAACUACUGUCAGAGACUAGGAACUCAAUGACCAAUCUCAAAGGAAGGGCCGGCUAACUUCGUGCCAGCAGCCGCGGUAAUACGAAGGGCCCGAGCGUUAUUCGGAAUCACUGGGCUUAAAGCGUGCGUAGGCGGACUUGUAGGCGUUUUGUGAAAUCCCUCGGCUCAACCGAGGAACUGCAGAGCGAACCCCAAGCCUUGAGACAGAUAGAGGUUGUCGGAACGAUUGGUGGAGUGGUGAAAUGCGUUGAUAUCAAUCGGAACGCCAAAUGAGAAGUCAGGCAACUGGAUCUGUUCUGACGCUGAGGCACGAAAGCGUGGGUAGCGAACGGGAUUAGAUACCCCGGUAGUCCACGCCG
Molecule: ribosomal RNA, 711 nt
Filed under: uncultured bacterium
Lineage: Bacteria
Description: bacterial SSU rRNA
Rfam family: Bacterial small subunit ribosomal RNA
Source: RNAcentral